AGAGUUUGAUCCUGGCUCAGAUUGAACGCUGGCGGCAUGCCUUACACAUGCAAGUCGAACGGUAACAGGUCUUCGGACGCUGACGAGUGGCGAACGGGUGAGUAAUACAUCGGAACGUGCCCAGUCGUGGGGGAUAACUACUCGAAAGAGUAGCUAAUACCGCAUACGAUCUGAGGAUGAAAGCGGGGGACCUUCGGGCCUCGCGCGAUUGGAGCGGCCGAUGGCAGAUUAGGUAGUUGGUGGGAUAAAAGCUUACCAAGCCGACGAUCUGUAGCUGGUCUGAGAGGACGACCAGCCACACUGGGACUGAGACACGGCCCAGACUCCUACGGGAGGCAGCAGUGGGGAAUUUUGGACAAUGGGCGAAAGCCUGAUCCAGCAAUGCCGCGUGCAGGAUGAAGGCCUUCGGGUUGUAAACUGCUUUUGUACGGAACGAAAAAGCUCCUUCUAAUACAGGGGGCCCAUGACGGUACCGUAAGAAUAAGCACCGGCUAACUACGUG
RNAcentral lists this ribosomal RNA (502 nucleotides) under uncultured Delftia sp. RNAcentral describes it as "bacterial SSU rRNA". It matches the Rfam family "Bacterial small subunit ribosomal RNA", at positions 8 to 507 of the family's 1533-position model. The record is from RNAcentral. Lineage: Bacteria; Pseudomonadati; Pseudomonadota; Betaproteobacteria; Burkholderiales; Comamonadaceae.